Molecule: long non-coding RNA, 556 nt
Filed under: Mus spicilegus (steppe mouse)
Lineage: Eukaryota; Metazoa; Chordata; Mammalia; Rodentia; Muridae
Description: lncRNA (ENSMSIG00000008996.1)
Source: RNAcentral
AUCAACAAACCAAACUGCCAGGCUGCACCCCUAAGAAGGAAAACAGAACAUGAGCUGUGGUCAGACCUUCCAAGAAAACAGCAGAAACGAGGAACGGCAGCCAAGUUUCCCAUGCAGGCCAGUUCCAGUUGGCAAGAUGCUGAAGUACCCCCCCCCCAUGUAUUGGGGAGAAGGCUCCAUGUGGCAGACAGUGAAGCAGAGGUUUCCUCUGCAGCUGCCCUCUCUCAGGCUGCUGCCUGGGCCCCAAACCCCGCAAGCAAAGCUGGCAGAAGAUGGCUGCCAACAAGCUCCACUGCAAAGAGAGUCGCUGUGAAGGCAUGUUUGGAGGCAGAGAAUAUUAUUCAAGGCAGUAAGAAUAUACAGAAGCUGGAGAGACGGCUCAGCGGUUAAGAGCACUGACUACUAUUCCAGAGAUCCUGAGUUCAAAUCCCAGCAACUACAUGGUGGCUCACAAUCAUCUAUAAUGAGAUCUGAUUCUCUCUUCUGGGAUGUCUGAAGAAAGCUACAGUGUACUUACAUAUAAUAAAUAAAUUAAUUAAAAAAAAAAGAAUAUGCA